Long non-coding RNA from Haplochromis burtoni (Burton's mouthbrooder), 914 nucleotides. RefSeq lists it as uncharacterized. The transcript has 4 exons. The record is from RefSeq and is a predicted model, not a curated record. Lineage: Eukaryota; Metazoa; Chordata; Actinopteri; Cichliformes; Cichlidae.
AUCUGUGGGUUCUUACUGGUGUUACUGGUUCUGUUAGGGAGACCAUGUGUUCACAGGAAACUUGAUGCUGAUGGGGGAGAAGUUGGAGAUAAUGACAUCACAUACAGUGAGAGAAAAUCUCAAAUCAUCGGCAACAGCCAAUCAGAGGAAGCAGAGGUAGUGUUUAAUAUGCUGUGUCGAGCGUUCAUGUUGAUAUUGAAAGAAAAGAGAAAACUGGUUACAUGAACUCAUUGUGAACUCACUGAGCCUAAACUCAUGUGUUAAACACAAUAAAAAGCCCUUACAUAUUCCGUGCAUAAUAUGUCCACAUUCACGUGUGUUAAUGAUUGUGUCACGGUUCUGUGUCAGUGUGGACCCAGUAUUUUGAGUUUAUUAUAUUUCGGUUUAAUUGACGAUUAUUAUUUGAGUUUCAUGUAUCUUCUGUCCGCCCCUCUGUCGAGUCCGUGUCUUUGAGUAGUGUUUCCUGUUUAUUGUGAAAGUCUUUGUCUUAGGUGAGUGCGUGCAGCUUUGUUCCCCCCUGUCUCAUCCAGUAACUGCAUGCCUCUGGACUGUGGGAGGAAGCCGGAGUACCCGAGCUGUAUCUCAAUUCAUUGGCCGCAUUCCUCGAAGAACCCAGCCUUCAUGGUCGACGUGGGCAAGGUCCUCCAAAGACCGAGAAGGCCAGAAAUGCGAGGCUGUGAAGUGGGACGGUGUAGCCUUCAGAUUUGCGUCACCAGUUGUCUCACCAGUUACCGCGCUAUGAUUUCUGAGAUAUGAGAGUGAUCCCGUUCCUGUCCACUCAGCCCUGAGAACUGAAGACAUCAGUUAUGGACAAACAGCUACUUUAAACCAGAGCCAGAUGUCGUCUACUUUUCACUGAAGCAGUCCACCGGUCCAACCACUGAUGUCCAGCUGCUGGUCUCUAACUGGCCCAC